This 949-nucleotide long non-coding RNA is filed under the name Mytilus galloprovincialis (Mediterranean mussel). The record is from RNAcentral. Lineage: Eukaryota; Metazoa; Mollusca; Bivalvia; Mytilida; Mytilidae.
CAUUCUUAAGCGAGCAUGAAGAAUUUGACCAAAACGAUGUCCUAUAUAAUAAAACGCUGGGAUCUUACUAUUUUGGGUACUAAUUUGUUUUUUGAAUAAUGAUAGAGAUUUACAUUUUCUUAUGUUUAAGUUAAGAGUGUUCCAUAGUUUUGUUGUUGCAGGGAUGAAAUAUUCAGAAUAUAAACGGGUCCGUGUGUUGACUUGUGAAAUAUUAUUUCUCUGUCUUGUAUUAUGAUCAUGCCUACUGCCUACUGAAUCAGGCAGUAAGUCUCUUAAAUACUCUGGAGUUUUAUUAUUCAAAAUUUUGUGAUAAUGAGUUAGUCUGUGAUUGCGUCGUCUUUCAGAUAAUUUUUCCCAUCGAGUUUCAACAUAUAAAUUGUUUAUACUGGUAAGUUUAGUACCCCCCCCCCCCCCCCCCCCCCCCCCCCCCCCCGUGACGAUACGCGCUGCGUCAAGCUGAAUACUUUCAAGUUUAGCAAUCAAAUUCUGAUUUUGAGAGUCCCAAACGACAUCGGCAUAUUCAAGAAUUGGGCGAACAAAUGAUAUGUAAAUUUUUUCAAGUGAAAAUCUAUCAAGAACAUUUUUCAUUUUUCUCAUUAUAUUUAUUCUUUUGUAAGAUUUAGAAACUAUAUAUUCAAUAUGGUCGUUCCAGGAUCCGUUGUUAGAAAAAAAGACACCUAGAUGUUUGUGUUUACUUACUGUUUGUAACUCUUGGGUGUUCAUAUUUAAUGGAGGAUGAAAGGGUCUAUUUAUUUUUUUUGAAAUUAUCAUACUUUCAGUUUUUUGGGCAUUAAAAUUCACAAGCCAUUUUUUUGACCAAUUAUAAAUCUUAUCUAGAUCGUCAUUUAAAAUUUUAGCUGUUUCUGUUGGAUUGUCAACCAUAAUAUAUAACGAAGUGUCAUCUGCGAAUAGCUUAAUUUGAGCUUGAAUGUCUUCUACAAUAUCGUUU